GACGAACGCUGGCGGCGUGCCUAAUACAUGCCAGUAGAACGCUGAAGGAGGAGCUUGCUUCUCUGGAUGAGUUGCGAACGGGUGAGUAACGCGUAGGUAACCUGCCUGGUAGCGGGGGAUAACUAUUGGAAACGAUAGCUAAUACCGCAUAAGAGUAGAUGUUGCAUGACAUUUGCUUAAAAGGUGCAAUUGCAUCACUACCAGAUGGACCUGCGUUGUAUUAGCUAGUUGGUGGGGUAACGGCUCACCAAGGCGACGAUACAUAGCCGACCUGAGAGGGUGAUCGGCCACACUGGGACUGAGACACGGCCCAGACUCCUACGGGAGGCAGCAGUAGGGAAUCUUCGGCAAUGGACGGAAGUCUGACCGAGCAACGCCGCGUGAGUGAAGAAGGGUUUCGGAUCGUAAAGCUCUGUUGUAAGAGAAGGACGAGGGUGAGAGUGGAAAGUUCACACUGUGACGGUAUCUUACCAGAAAGGGACGGCUAACUACGUG
This 495-nucleotide ribosomal RNA is filed under the name uncultured bacterium. RNAcentral's name for it is "partial 16S ribosomal RNA". It matches the Rfam family "Bacterial small subunit ribosomal RNA", at positions 28 to 507 of the family's 1533-position model. The record is from RNAcentral.